This 89-nucleotide unclassified non-coding RNA is filed under the name Pseudomonas granadensis. The record is from RNAcentral. Lineage: Bacteria; Pseudomonadati; Pseudomonadota; Gammaproteobacteria; Pseudomonadales; Pseudomonadaceae.
UGUAGGAGUGAGCCUGCUCGCGAUAGCGGUGUGUCAGUCGGUAUAUUUUUCACUGAUACACCGCUAUCGCGAGCAGGCUCACUCCUACA